Long non-coding RNA from Amphimedon queenslandica, 481 nucleotides. RefSeq lists it as uncharacterized. The record is from RefSeq and is a predicted model, not a curated record. The transcript is spliced from 4 exons. NCBI's taxonomy places the organism in Eukaryota, Metazoa, Porifera, Demospongiae, Haplosclerida, Niphatidae.
UUCCUAUCUAUUGUACAGGUAUAUGAUACACUGACAGCUCAUUGUAAAUAAUCAUACUCAGUAAGUUAAUGCACUUUAUUCUGUAAGUGGAGACCACAGAACAGGAAUCACUUGUCGAUGUACAUAUAUACUGUAAUCACAUGAUAGUCACAUGAUGAGGUUUCUCUGGAAUUAUUGGGCUUCUUUCUUAGAAGUGGUGGAGAGAUUUCAGAAAGUGCUCCAAGCCAUUCCUCAUUGAAGGACUACCAGUUGUGACCAUAACUACCAGGUAUGUUUAGAUCAUGGUAAAGAUGAUGCUGCUCGUACAUGGCUAAUACUAAAGUUAUUGUAUUGUGGGAUGGACCCACAAGUAUCAACGCUAGGACUGACCCCAUUACAACUAGCAAGAGAACAAGAACAACCAGACUCUGAGAAGGCUUCUCUUCAGAAUAGUUCAGAUAAAGGAAAUAAUGAUACAAUGAAGGAUAAAGGAUUAAAGGUA